GAGGGUAGAGCUCAGUGGCAGAGUUCCUGCCUAGCAUACAUGAGGUCCUAGGUUCAAUCCCUGGUACCUCCA
RNAcentral lists this transfer RNA (72 nucleotides) under Camelus bactrianus (Bactrian camel). It matches the Rfam family "tRNA". From Rfam's summary of the family: Transfer RNA (tRNA) molecules are approximately 80 nucleotides in length. The record is from Rfam by way of RNAcentral. RNAcentral also lists the same sequence under 2 other names. Lineage: Eukaryota; Metazoa; Chordata; Mammalia; Artiodactyla; Camelidae.